Non-coding RNA from Salmo salar (Atlantic salmon), 1186 nucleotides. NCBI's taxonomy places the organism in Eukaryota, Metazoa, Chordata, Actinopteri, Salmoniformes, Salmonidae. The record is from RefSeq and is a predicted model, not a curated record.
GAGGCUGUUACAGUGAAAGAAGAGGAAGAGGUGAAAGAGGAGGAUGUAGUUUUUGAAGUGAAGGAGGGGAAACAGGGAGAGAGAACUGUCAUAUUGACAGAGGAGUCAGGAGAUCUGAUUACCACCAGAGAGGGACCAGACUCUCACUCUGACAGCAGGGAGACUCCUUCAGGGGAACCAGACCCAGAGACGCCCAAACCAGCGAGACAACACCACUGUUCCCAGUGUGGAAAGAGUUUUAAGUGGUUAAGGAACCUGAAAGUACAUGAGAGAAUACAGGAGAAAACCCUUACGAAUGCUCCCACUGUGGAAAGAGUUUUACCAAGUUAGGGAACCUAAAAGAGCAUGAGAGGACACACACAAGAGAAAAGAGUUUCCAAUGUUCCCAGUGUGGAAAGAGGUUUACCCAGUUACAGUACCUGAAACAACAUGAAGAAAUACACACAGAAGAUAGGAAGACCUACCACUGCUCUCAGUGUGUAAAGAUAUUUACUGGGUUAGGGAACCUGAAAAUACAUAUGAGAAGACACUCUGGAGAGAAGCCGUACCACUGUUCCCACUGUGGAAGGAAUUUUAGGUGGUAUGCGAGCCUGAAGGAGCAUGAGAGAAUACACACAGGAGAAAAGCCUUACCACUGUUCCAAUUGUGAAAAGAGUUUUACCCGGUUAGGGAGCUUGAAAAAGCAUGAGAGAACACACACAGGAGAAAAGCCUUUCCAACAUACUAAUACACAGGAGGAGAAGACAUACCACUGCUCUCAUUGUGAAAAGACAUUUUCCCAGUCAGAGGACCUGAAAUCACAUGAGAGAAUAGAGAGGCUGUGUUCUGACUUAUGUUUUUGAUUGAGAAAUUGUGUUUUUGUUCAUUCUACAUUAAAUAAUAUUGUAUGAAUGAAAUCAUACUGAAAAAUAGGUCUACAUGUUUUUCCCAGCUCAAGACAUGAUCAUGUCGAAAAUCGGAUUAAAAGAGUAAAAAAAUGUUUUGAUUAUGAACUUAAGAUUGAUUGAAUGCAAGUGUAAACCCCUAAAUGUUGUUCACUAUAUCAUUGGGAUAUUUCAAACAUGUUAAUUAUUAAAUAGAUUGAUAUUAGUAUUUCUUCAUUCAGAUUGUCAUUGUAAAUGCGUAUUGGUUCUCAAUUGACAUAUCUGAUUAAAUAAAUGUGAAAUAAAGUAAAUGCCAUAUUGUU